GACGAACGCUGGCGGCGUGCUUAACACAUGCAAGUCGAACGGAAAGGCCCUGCUUUUGUGGGGUGCUCGAGUGGCGAACGGGUGAGUAACACGUGAGUAACCUGCCCUUGACUUUGGGAUAACUUCAGGAAACUGGGGCUAAUACCGGAUAGGAGCUCCUGCUGCAUGGUGGGGGUUGGAAAGUUUCGGCGGUUGGGGAUGGACUCGCGGCUUAUCAGCUUGUUGGUGGGGUAGUGGCUUACCAAGGCUUUGACGGGUAGCCGGCCUGAGAGGGUGACCGGCCACAUUGGGACUGAGAUACGGCCCAGACUCCUACGGGAGGCAGCAGUGGGGAAUAUUGCAGGAUGGGCGGAAGCAUGAUGCAGCAAAGCCGCGUGCGGGAUGACGGCCUUCGGGUUGUAAACCGCUUUCGCCUGUGACGAAGCGUGAGUGACGGUAAUGGGUAAAGAAGCACCGGCUAACUACGUG
RNAcentral lists this ribosomal RNA (468 nucleotides) under uncultured bacterium. Its description in RNAcentral is "partial 16S ribosomal RNA". It matches the Rfam family "Bacterial small subunit ribosomal RNA", at positions 28 to 507 of the family's 1533-position model. The record is from RNAcentral.